UAGGGAAUCUUCCACAAUGGACGCAAGUCUGAUGGAGCAACGCCGCGUGAGUGAAGAAGGUCUUCGGAUCGUAAAACUCUGUUGUUAGAGAAGAACACGAGUGAGAGUAACUGUUCAUUCGAUGACGGUAUCUAACCAGCAAGUCACGACUAACUACGUGCCAG
RNAcentral lists this ribosomal RNA (164 nucleotides) under uncultured bacterium. RNAcentral's name for it is "partial 16S rRNA". It matches the Rfam family "Bacterial small subunit ribosomal RNA", at positions 355 to 511 of the family's 1533-position model. The record is from RNAcentral.